CGCGUAGGCGGGUAUGCAAGUCAGGUGUGAAAUUUAUGGGCUUAACCCAUAAACUGCAUUUGAAACUGUGUAUCUUGAGUGAUGGAGAGGUAAGUGGAAUUCCUAGUGUAGCGGUGGAAUGCGUAGAUAUUAGGAGGAACACCAGUGGCGAAGGCGACUUACUGGACAUUAACUGACGCUGAUGCGCGAAAGCGUGGGGAGCAAACA
This 207-nucleotide ribosomal RNA is filed under the name uncultured Eubacteriales bacterium. RNAcentral's name for it is "uncultured Clostridiales bacterium partial 16S ribosomal RNA". It matches the Rfam family "Bacterial small subunit ribosomal RNA", at positions 568 to 774 of the family's 1533-position model. The record is from RNAcentral. Lineage: Bacteria; Bacillati; Bacillota; Clostridia; Eubacteriales.